UGCACCGUAGUUUACUACACCGUAUUCUGUGAGUUGCGAACGGGUGAGUAACGCGUAGGUAACCUGCCUGGUAGCGGGGGAUAACUAUUGGAAACGAUAGCUAAUACCGCAUAAGAACAUUUACUGCAUGGUAGAUGUUUAAAAGGUGCAAAAGCAUCACUACCAGAUGGACCUGCGUUGUAUUAGCUAGUUGGUGAGGUAACGGCUCACCAAGGCAACCUACAUAGCCGACCUGAGAGGGUGAUCGGCCACACUGGGACUGAGACACGGCCCAGACUCCUACGGGAGGCAGCAGUAGGGAAUCUUCGGCAAUGGGGGGAACCCUGACCGAGCAACGCCGCGUGAGUGAAGAAGGUUUUCGGAUCGUAAAGCUCUGUUGUUAAGGAAGAACGUGUGUGAGAGUGGAAAGUUCACACAGUGACG
RNAcentral lists this ribosomal RNA (423 nucleotides) under Streptococcus constellatus. RNAcentral describes it as "bacterial SSU rRNA". It matches the Rfam family "Bacterial small subunit ribosomal RNA", at positions 63 to 474 of the family's 1533-position model. The record is from RNAcentral. Lineage: Bacteria; Bacillati; Bacillota; Bacilli; Lactobacillales; Streptococcaceae.